GUUAUAUGGUCAAGCGAAUAAGCGCACACGGUGGAUGCCUUGGCGGUCAGAGGCGAUGAAGGACGUGGCAGCCUGCGAAAAGUAUCGGGGAGCUGGCAACAAGCUUUGAUCCGGUAAUGUCCGAAUGGGGAAACCCACCCGCUUGCGGGUAUCCUGCAGUGAAUACAUAGCUGCUGGAAGCGAACCUGGUGAACUGAAAUAUCUAAGUAACCAGAGGAAAAGAAAUCAACCGAGAUUCCGUAAGUAGCGACGAGCGAACGCGGACUAGCCCUUAAGCUGGAUUGGUUCUAGGAAAACGCUCUGGAAAGAGCGGCCAUAGAAGGUGAUAGCCCUGUAUCUGAAAGGGCCAUUCCAGUGAAGACGAGUAGGGCGGGGCACGUGAAACCCUGUCUGAACAUGGGGGGACCAUCCUCCAAGGCUAAAUACUACUGACCGACCGAUAGUGAACCAGUACCGUGAGGGAAAGGCGAAAAGAACCCCGGAGAGGGGAGUGAAAUAGAACCUGAAACCGUGUGCGUACAAGCAGUAGGAGCUCCGCAAGGAGUGACUGCGUACCUUUUGUAUAAUGGGUCAGCGACUUACUGUUCGUGGCAAGCUUAACCGUAUAGGGGAGGCGAAGGGAAACCGAGUCUGAUAAGGGCGCAUAGUCGCGGGCAGUAGACCCGAAACCGGGUGAUCUAGUCAUGCCCAGGGUGAAGGUGCGGUAACACGCACUGGAGGCCCGAACCCACUCCCGUUGCAAAGGUAGGGGAUGAGGUGUGAUUAGGAGUGAAAAGCUAAUCGAACCCGGAGAUAGCUGGUUCUCCUCGAAAGCUAUUUAGGUAGCGCCUCAUAUGUAUCCUCUCGGGGGUAGAGCACUGUUAUGGCUAGGGGGUCAUCGCGACUUACCAAACCAUUGCAAACUCCGAAUACCGAGACGGACUGUAUGGGAGACACACGGCGGGUGCUAACGUCCGUCGUGAAAAGGGAAACAACCCAGACCCACAGCUAAGGUCCCAAAUUCACUGCUAAGUGGAAAACCAUGUGGAAAGGCACAGACAGCCAGGAGGUUGGCUUAGAAGCAGCCACCCUUUAAAGAAAGCGUAAUAGCUCACUGGUCGAGUCGGUCUGCGGGGAAGAUUUAACGGGGCUAAGCAGUGAACCGAAGCUUGGGGUGCAUACUUUGUAUGCGCGGUAGAGGAGCGUUCCGUAAGCCGUUGAAGGUGGAUUGAGAAGUCUGCUGGAGGUAUCGGAAGUGCGAAUGCUGACAUGAGUAACGAUAAUGCGGGUGAAAAACCCGCACGCCGAAAGCCCAAGGUUUCCUUGCGCAACGUUAAUCGGCGCAGGGUGAGUCGGCCCCUAAGGCGAGGACGAAAGUCGUAGUCGAUGGGAAGCAGGUUAAUAUUCCUGCACCUCGCGUAAGUGCGAUGGAGGGACGGAGAAGGUUAGGUGUACCAGGCGUUGGUUGUCCUGGGGAAAGGCGGUAGGUUUGGAUCUUUGGCAAAUCCGGGAUCCUCUAAGACCGAGCACCGAGACGAGCCUUUAUGGCGAAGUCACUGAUACCACGCUUCCAGGAAAAGCUCCUAAGCUUCAGCUUACGCAGACCGUACCGUAAACCGACACAGGUGGGUAGGAUGAGAAUUCUCAGGCGCUUGAGAGAACUCGGGUGAAGGAACUAGGCAACAUGGCACCGUAACUUCGGGAGAAGGUGCACCCUUUUUGGUGGCUCGUGCGAGCUAUAGCUGAAGAGGGUCGCAGUAACCAGGCCGCUGCGACUGUUUAUCAAAAACACAGCACUCUGCAAACACGAAAGUGGACGUAUAGGGUGUGACGCCUGCCCGGUGCUGGAAGGUUAAUUGAUGGGGUCAGCCGCAAGGCGAAGCUCUUGAUCGAAGCCCCAGUAAACGGCGGCCGUAACUAUAACGGUCCUAAGGUAGCGAAAUUCCUUGUCGGGUAAGUUCCGACCUGCACGAAUGGCGUAACGACAGCGGCGCUGUCUCCACCCGAGACUCAGUGAAAUUGAAAUCGCUGUGAAGAUGCAGCGUUCCCGUGGCAAGACGGAAAGACCCCGUGAACCUUUACUAUAGCUUUACACUGAACGUUGAGUUCGUCUGUGUAGGAUAGGUGGGAGGCUAUGAAACUGUGGCGCUAGCUGCAGCGGAGCCAUCCUUGAAAUACCACCCUGUCGUGCUUGACGUUCUAACCUGGGCCCAUUAUCUGGGUCGGGGACCGUGUAUGGUGGGUAGUUUGACUGGGGCGGUCUCCUCCUAAAGAGUAACGGAGGAGCUCGAAGGUACGCUCAGCGCGGUCGGACAUCGCGCACUGUGUGCAAAGGCAUAAGCGUGCUUGACUGCAAGAUCGACGGAUCAAGCAGGUAGGAAACUAGGACUUAGUGAUCCGGUGGUUCUGUAUGGAAGGGCCAUCGCUCAACGGAUAAAAGGUACUCCGGGGAUAACAGGCUGAUACCGCCCAAGAGUUCAUAUCGACGGCGGUGUUUGGCACCUCGAUGUCGGCUCAUCACAUCCUGGGGCUGUAGUCGGUCCCAAGGGUAUGGCUGUUCGCCAUUUAAAGUGGUACGCGAGCUGGGUUCAGAACGUCGUGAGACAGUUCGGUCCCUAUCUGCCAUGGGCGUUGGAGAUUUGAGAGGGGCUGCUCCUAGUACGAGAGGACCGGAGUGGACGAACCUCUGGUGUUCCGGUUGUCACGCCAGUGGCAUUGCCGGGUAGCUAUGUUCGGAAGCGAUAACCGCUGAAAGCAUCUAAGCGGGAAGCGCGCCUCAAGAUGAGAUCUCCCGGGGCACAAGCCCCCUGAAGGAACCAUGUAGACUACGUGGUUGAUAGGUCAGGUGUGUAAGUACAGCAAUGUAUUGAGCUAACUGAUACUAAUGAUCCGUGCGGCUUGACCAUAUAACCU
This 2892-nucleotide ribosomal RNA is filed under the name Stenotrophomonas maltophilia. Its description in RNAcentral is "bacterial LSU rRNA". It matches the Rfam family "Bacterial large subunit ribosomal RNA". The record is from RNAcentral. Lineage: Bacteria; Pseudomonadati; Pseudomonadota; Gammaproteobacteria; Lysobacterales; Lysobacteraceae.